RNAcentral lists this non-coding RNA (212 nucleotides) under Bacillus gobiensis. RNAcentral's name for it is "T-box sequence". It matches the Rfam family "T-box leader". Rfam says of the family: Uncharged tRNA acts as the effector for transcription antitermination of genes in the T-box leader family. The record is from RNAcentral. Lineage: Bacteria; Bacillati; Bacillota; Bacilli; Caryophanales; Bacillaceae.
AAAAAUGCGAUGAAGAAGAAUAGUACACAUUGACAACGUUUAAAGAGAGCCUGCGGUGCUGGAAGCUGGUAGCGAAGUAAUGUGGAAUGGGCUUUGGAGCAGCUGACUGAACUUGUAGUAGGCUCAGCCGGAGAGGACUCCGUUACAAACAUUAAGGUGAUUUCACGUGUUGAAAUAAAUCAGGGUGGUACCGCGGUUCAUUCGUCCCUUUU